Molecule: transfer RNA, 75 nt
Filed under: Variovorax dokdonensis
Lineage: Bacteria; Pseudomonadati; Pseudomonadota; Betaproteobacteria; Burkholderiales; Comamonadaceae
Also listed under: 3 other names
Description: tRNA-Val
Rfam family: tRNA
About the family: Transfer RNA (tRNA) molecules are approximately 80 nucleotides in length. Their secondary structure includes four short double-helical elements and three loops (D, anti-codon, and T loops). Further hydrogen bonds mediate the characteristic L-shaped molecular structure. tRNAs have two regions of fundamental functional importance: the anti-codon, which is responsible for specific mRNA codon recognition, and the 3' end, to which the tRNAs corresponding amino acid is attached (by aminoacyl-tRNA synthetases). tRNAs cope with the degeneracy of the genetic code in two manners: having more than one tRNA (with a specific anti-codon) for a particular amino acid; and 'wobble' base-pairing, i.e. permitting non-standard base-pairing at the 3rd anti-codon position.
Source: RNAcentral
GGGCGGUUAGCUCAGGGGUAGAGCACUGCAUUCACACUGCAGGGGUCAGUGGUUCGAUCCCACUACCGCCCACCA